AGGGUUUGAUCAUGGCUCAGAUUGAACGCUGGCGGCAUGCCUUACACAUGCAAGUCGAACGGUAACAGGUCUUCGGAUGCUGACGAGUGGCGAACGGGUGAGUAAUACAUCGGAACGUGCCCGAGAGUGGGGGAUAACGAAGCGAAAGCUUUGCUAAUACCGCAUACGAUCUCAGGAUGAAAGCAGGGGACCGCAAGGCCUUGCGCUCACGGAGCGGCCGAUGGCAGAUUAGGUAGUUGGUGGGAUAAAAGCUUACCAAGCCGACGAUCUGUAGCUGGUCUGAGAGGACGACCAGCCACACUGGGACUGAGACACGGCCCAGACUCCUACGGGAGGCAGCAGUGGGGAAUUUUGGACAAUGGGCGCAAGCCUGAUCCAGCCAUGCCGCGUGCAGGAUGAAGGCCUUCGGGUUGUAAACUGCUUUUGUACGGAACGAAAAGACUCUGGUUAAUACCUGGGGUCCAUGACGGUACCGUAAGAAUAAGCACCGGCUAACUACGUGCCAGCAGCCGCGGUAAUACGUAGGGUGCGAGCGUUAAUCGGAAUUACUGGGCGUAAAGCGUGCGCAGGCGGUUAUGUAAGACAGAUGUGAAAUCCCCGGGCUCAACCUGGGAACUGCAUUUGUGACUGCAUAGCUAGAGUACGGCAGAGGGGGAUGGAAUUCCGCGUGUAGCAGUGAAAUGCGUAGAUAUGCGGAGGAACACCGAUGGCGAAGGCAAUCCCCUGGGCCUGUACUGACGCUCAUGCACGAAAGCGUGGGGAGCAAACAGGAUUAGAUACCCUGGUAGUCCACGCCCUAAACGAUGUCAACUGGUUGUUGGGUCUUCACUGACUCAGUAACGAAGCUAACGCGUGAAGUUGACCGCCUGGGGAGUACGGCCGCAAGGUUGAAACUCAAAUGAAUUGACGGGGACCCGCACAAGCGGUGGAGCAUGUGGUUUAAUUCGAUGCAACGCGAAAAACCUUACCUACUCUUGACAUACUUGGAAGCUCUUGUAAUGAGAGUGUGCCUUUUGGAGCCAAGAUACAGGUGCUGCAUGGCUGUCGUCAGCUCGUGUCGUGAGAUGUUCCGUUAAGUCGGAUAACGAGCGCAACCCUUACCCUUAUUUGCCAGCGAUUCGGUCGGGAACUAUAAGGGGACUGCCGGUGAUAAACCGGAGGAAGGUGAGGACGACGUCAAGUCAUCAUGGCCCUUACGAGUAGGGCUACACACGUGCUACAAUGGGGAAUACAGACGGACGCUAAAGCGUGAGCUGGUGCCAAUCCUAAAAAAUUUCUCGUAGUCCGGAUUGCAGUCUGCAACUCGACUGCAUGAAGUCGGAAUCGCUAGUAAUCGCGAAUCAGCAUGUCGCGGUGAAUACGUUCUCGGGUCUUGUACACACCGCCCGUCACACCAUGGAAGUGUGUUGCACCAGAAGUAGGUAGUCUAACCUUCGGGAAGGCGCUUACCACGGUGUGAUCCAUGACUGGGGUGAAGUCAUAACAAGGUAGCCGUA
RNAcentral lists this ribosomal RNA (1496 nucleotides) under uncultured bacterium. Its description in RNAcentral is "partial 16S ribosomal RNA". It matches the Rfam family "Bacterial small subunit ribosomal RNA". The record is from RNAcentral.